AACGCUAGCUACAGGCUUAACACAUGCAAGUCGAGGGGCAGCAUGAGCUUAGCUUGCUAAGCUUGAUGGCGACCGGCGCACGGGUGAGUAACACGUAUCCAACCUCCCGCUUACUCAGGAAUAGCCUUUCGAAAGAAAGAUUAAUGCCUGAUGGUAUCUUAAGCACACAUGUAAUUAAGAUUAAAGAUUUAUCGGUAAGCGAUGGGGAUGCGUUCCAUUAGGUAGUAGGCGGGGUAACGGCCCACCUAGCCGACGAUGGAUAGGGGUUCUGAGAGGAAGGUCCCCCACAUUGGAACUGAGACACGGUCCAAACUCCUACGGGAGGCAGCAGUGAGGAAUAUUGGUCAAUGGACGAGAGUCUGAACCAGCCAAGUAGCGUGAAGGAUGACUGCCCUAUGGGUUGUAAACUUCUUUUAUAAGGGAAUAAAGUGAGGGACGUGUCCCUUUUUGUAUGUACCUUAUGAAUAAGGAUCGGCUAACUCCGUGCCAGCAGCCGCGGUAAUACGGAGGAUCCAAGCGUUAUCCGGAUUUAUUGGGUUUAAAGGGAGCGUAGGUUGACAUAUAAGUCAGCUGUGAAAGUUUACGGCUCAACCGUGAAAUUGCAGUUGAUACUGUAUGUCUUGAGUGUACAAGAGGUGGGCGGAAUUCGUGGUGUAGCGGUGAAAUGCUUAGAUAUCACGAAGAACUCCGAUUG
RNAcentral lists this ribosomal RNA (694 nucleotides) under uncultured bacterium. RNAcentral describes it as "bacterial SSU rRNA". It matches the Rfam family "Bacterial small subunit ribosomal RNA", at positions 32 to 715 of the family's 1533-position model. The record is from RNAcentral.